RNAcentral lists this ribosomal RNA (407 nucleotides) under uncultured bacterium. RNAcentral's name for it is "partial 16S ribosomal RNA". It matches the Rfam family "Bacterial small subunit ribosomal RNA", at positions 28 to 526 of the family's 1533-position model. The record is from RNAcentral.
GACGAACGCUGGCGGCGUGCCUAAUACAUGCAAGUAGAACGCAGUUGCGAACGGGUGAGUAACGCGUAGGUAACUGCCUCAUAGCGGGGGAUAACUAUUGGAAACGAUAGCUAAUACCGCAUACUGUGCGAUGGACCUGCGUUGUAUUAGCUAGUUGGUGAGGUAAAGGCUCACCAAGGCGACGAUACAUAGCCGACCUGAGAGGGUGAUCGGCAACACUGGGACGGAGACACGGCCCAGACUCCUACGGGAGGCAGCAGUAGGGAAGCUUCGGCAAUGGACGGAAGUCUGACCGAGCAACGCAGCGUGAGUGAGGAAGGUUUUCGGAUCGUAGAGCUCUGUUGUUGGGGAAGCGGUAACUAAACAGAAAGGGAAGGCUAACUACGUGCCAGCAGCCGCGGUAAUAC